UGAUAAUUCAAGAAGCUAAAGAUCUCACCUAGCUAUCCCUAGAAGAGCUUAUUGGUUCACUUAUGACACAUGAGUAGAGCAUAACACAAAAGAAAAGAGAAAAUAAGCCUAAAAGGAAGAUCGUUGCUCUCAAGUUAUCGGCCAUUGAAGAAAGUUCAAAUGAUUCUAUCGAGAAUUCGAAAGAUGAUGAAGAAAUAGUGG
This 201-nucleotide long non-coding RNA is filed under the name Elaeis guineensis (African oil palm). Its description in RNAcentral is "long non-coding RNA (EGUI_LNC066124)". The record is from RNAcentral. Lineage: Eukaryota; Viridiplantae; Streptophyta; Magnoliopsida; Arecales; Arecaceae.